CGACGGCGCUUGCGUAGGGAGGAGCGGUGCGUUUCGGGACUUGUAGUUUUCCCGACGGGGUUGUGGGAGUCGUGGUUUGUCAGCACCCGGCCGGGAGGCUCCGCCGCCUUGAGUUAUCAGAACGCCCAGCUCGUUGGACCUGGCCUUCUAGCUGCCUCUCAGACUUGUGCCUACAGGUUGCCCUGGUCAGAAGUGAACUCACAGCUGGGUGGACAUGAACUGGAAGCAAAAACCCUGAUCCUUUGCCUGGCCUUUGCGGGAGUGAAAAUGUACCAAAGGAAAAGCCUGGAAGCCAAACUGCAAGCCGAAAAGAAGCAGCCAUCAGAGAAGAAAGAGACCUGAAGGGACAUCAGAGAUUUUUCUAU
Long non-coding RNA from Phodopus roborovskii (desert hamster), 365 nucleotides. RefSeq lists it as uncharacterized. NCBI's taxonomy places the organism in Eukaryota, Metazoa, Chordata, Mammalia, Rodentia, Cricetidae. The transcript is spliced from 4 exons. The record is from RefSeq and is a predicted model, not a curated record.